Molecule: ribosomal RNA, 790 nt
Filed under: uncultured Methanolobus sp.
Lineage: Archaea; Methanobacteriati; Methanobacteriota; Methanomicrobia; Methanosarcinales; Methanosarcinaceae
Description: bacterial SSU rRNA
Rfam family: Archaeal small subunit ribosomal RNA
Source: RNAcentral
ACGGCUCAGUAACACGUGGAUAAUCUGCCCUAAGGUCAGGCAUAACACCGGGAAACUGGUGAUAAUUCCUGAUAUACUAUAGAUACUGGAAUGUUCUGUGGUCAAAAGCUCCGGCGCCUUAGGAUGAAUCUGCGGCCUAUCAGGUCGUAGUGGGUGUAACGUACCUACUAGCCGACGACGGGUACGGGUUGUGAGAGCAAGAGCCCGGAGAUGGAUUCUGAGACAUGAAUCCAGGCCCUACGGGGCGCAGCAGGCGCGAAAACUUUACAAUGCGGGAAACCGCGAUAAGGGGACACUGAGUGCCAGCAUACAAUGUUGGCUGUCCGCAUGUAUAAAUAGCAUGUGUUAGCAAGGGCCGGGCAAGACCGGUGCCAGCCGCCGCGGUAACACCGGCGGCCCGAGUGGUGGCCACUAUUAUUGGGUCUAAAGGGUCCGUAGCCGGUUUGAUCAGUCUUCCGGGAAAUCUGACAGCUCAACUGUUAGGCUUCCGGGGGAUACUGUCAGACUUGGGACCGGGAGAGGUAAGAGGUACUACAGGGGUAGGAGUGAAAUCUUGUAAUCCUUGUGGGACCACCAGUGGCGAAGGCGUCUUACCAGAACGGAUCCGACGGUGAGGGACGAAAGCUGGGGGCACGAACCGGAUUAGAUACCCGGGUAGUCCCAGCCGUAAACGAUGCUCGCUAGGUGUCUGGGAUGGUGCGACCGUUUCAGGUGCCGCAGGGAAGCCGUGAAGCGAGCCACCUGGGAAGUACGGCCGCAAGGCUGAAACUUAAAGGAAUUGGCGGGGGAG